CCUACGGGAGGCAGCAGUGGGGAAUAUUGGGCAAUGGGCGCAAGCCUGACCCAGCAACGCCGCGUGAAGGAAGAAGGCUUUCGGGUUGUAAACUUCUUUUCUGAGGGACGAAGAAAGGGACGGUACCUCAGGACUAAGCCACGGCUAACUACGUGCAAGCGGCCGCGGUAAUACGUAGGUGGCAAGCGUUAUCCGAAUUUAUUGGGUGUAAAGGGCGUGUAGGCGGGAAAGCAAGUCAGAUGUGAAAACUCAGGGCUCAACCCUGGGCCUGCAUUUGAAACUGUUUUUCUUGAGUGCUGGAGAGGCAAUCGGAAUUUCGGGUGUAGCGGUGAAAGGCGUAGAUAUACGGAGGAAAACCAGUGGCGAAGGCGGAUUGCUAGACCGUAACUGACGCUGAGGCGCGAAAGCGUGGGGAGCAAACAGGAUUAGAUACCCGGGUAGUC
This 443-nucleotide ribosomal RNA is filed under the name uncultured bacterium. RNAcentral's name for it is "partial 16S ribosomal RNA". It matches the Rfam family "Bacterial small subunit ribosomal RNA", at positions 338 to 795 of the family's 1533-position model. The record is from RNAcentral.